This 72-nucleotide transfer RNA is filed under the name Dermacentor silvarum. RNAcentral describes it as "transfer RNA threonine (anticodon AGU)". It matches the Rfam family "tRNA". Rfam says of the family: Transfer RNA (tRNA) molecules are approximately 80 nucleotides in length. Their secondary structure includes four short double-helical elements and three loops (D, anti-codon, and T loops). The record is from RNAcentral. Lineage: Eukaryota; Metazoa; Arthropoda; Arachnida; Ixodida; Ixodidae.
UCCGCGGUAGCUCAAUGGUGAGAGCAUCGCACGAGUAAUGCGAAGACGUGGGCUCGUUCCCCACCUGCGGAC